This 301-nucleotide ribosomal RNA is filed under the name uncultured bacterium. RNAcentral describes it as "partial 16S ribosomal RNA". It matches the Rfam family "Bacterial small subunit ribosomal RNA", at positions 509 to 809 of the family's 1533-position model. The record is from RNAcentral.
CAGUAGCCGCGGUAAUACAGAGGGUGCGAGCGUUAAUCGGAUUUACUGGGCGUAAAGCGUGCGUAGGCGGCUUCUUAAGUCGGAUGUGAAAUCCCUGAGCUUAACUUAGGAAUUGCAUUCGAUACUGGGAAGCUAGAGUAUGGGAGAGGAUGGUAGAAUUCCAGGUGUAGCGGUGAAAUGCGUAGAGAUCUGGAGGAAUACCGAUGGCGAAGGCAGCCAUCUGGCCUAAUACUGACGCUGAGGUACGAAAGCAUGGGGAGCAAACAGGAUUAGAUACCCGCGUAGUCCCUGUCUCUUAUAU